Molecule: small nucleolar RNA, 76 nt
Organism: Cynocephalus volans (Philippine flying lemur)
Lineage: Eukaryota; Metazoa; Chordata; Mammalia; Dermoptera; Cynocephalidae
Product: small nucleolar RNA SNORD103/SNORD85
Exons: 1
Source: RefSeq, a predicted model, not a curated record
AAAGGCAAGGAUGAUAUACAUUUGCCCUCACUUAGACCAUAGUUAGUUGAUGAGGGUGUUAUUCUGAUCUGUCUUA